UGGGGAAUCUUGGGCAAUGGGCGAAAGCCUGACCCAGCAACGCCGCGUGAAGGAUGAAGUAUUUCGGUAUGUAAACUUCGAAAGAAUAGGAAGAAUAAAUGACGGUACUAUUUAUAAGGUCCGGCUAACUACGUGCCAGCAGCCGCGGUAAUACGUAGGGACCAAGCGUUGUUCGGAUUUACUGGGCGUAAAGGGCGCGUAGGCGGCAAUUCAAGUCAUCUGUGAAAUCUCCGGGCUUAACUCGGAACGGUCAGAUGAUACUGCUUUGCUAGAGUGCAGAAGGGGCAAUCGGAAUUCUUGGUGUAGCGGUGAAAUGCGUAGAUAUCAAGAGGAACACCUGAGGUGAAGACGGGUUGCUGGGCUGACACUGACGCUGAGGCGCGAAAGCCAGGGGAGCAAACGGGAUUAGAUACCCCCGUAGUCCCUGAGCGGGCUGGCAAGGCGCAU
Molecule: ribosomal RNA, 447 nt
Filed under: uncultured bacterium
Lineage: Bacteria
Description: bacterial SSU rRNA
Rfam family: Bacterial small subunit ribosomal RNA
Source: RNAcentral